GCGGUGGAGCAUGUGGUUUAAUUCGAUGCAACGCGAAGAACCUUACCUGGUCUUGACAUCCACAGAACUUUCCAGAGAUGGAUUGGUGCCUUCGGGAACUGUGAGACAGGUGCUGCAUGGCUGUCGUUAGCUCGUGUUGUGAAAUGUUGGGUUAAGUCCCGCAACGAGCGCAACCCUUAUCCUUUGUUGCCAGCGGUCCGGCCGGGAACUCAAAGGAGACUGCCAGUGAUAAACUGGAGGAAGGUGGGGAUGACG
Molecule: ribosomal RNA, 255 nt
Filed under: Klebsiella pneumoniae
Lineage: Bacteria; Pseudomonadati; Pseudomonadota; Gammaproteobacteria; Enterobacterales; Enterobacteriaceae
Description: partial 16S ribosomal RNA
Rfam family: Bacterial small subunit ribosomal RNA
Source: RNAcentral